AUUGAACGCUGGCGGCAGGCUUAACACAUGCAAGUCGAGCGGGGGAAGGUAGCUUGCUACCGGACCUAGCGACGGACGGGUGAGUAAUGCUUAGGAAUCUGCCUAUUAGUGGGGGACAACAUCUCGAAAGGGAUGCUAAUACCGCAUACGUCCUACGGGAGAAAGCAGGGGAUCUUCGGACCUUGCGCUAAUAGAUGAGCCCAGGUCGGAUGAGCUAGUUGGUGGGGUAAAGGCCUACCAAGGCGACGAUCUGUAGCGGGUCUGAGAGGAUGAACCGCCCCACUGGGACUGAGACGCGGCCCAGACUCCUGCGGGAGGCAGCAGUGGGGAAUAUUGGACAAUGGGGGGAACCCUGAUCCAGCCAUGCCGCGUGUGUGAAGAAGGCCUUAUGGUUGUAAAACACUUUAAGCGAGGAGGAGGCUACUCUAGUUAAUACCUAGGGAUAGUGGACGUUACUCGCAGAAUAAGCACCGGCUAACUCUGUGCCAGCCGCCGCUGUAA
RNAcentral lists this ribosomal RNA (501 nucleotides) under uncultured bacterium. Its description in RNAcentral is "partial 16S ribosomal RNA". It matches the Rfam family "Bacterial small subunit ribosomal RNA", at positions 30 to 523 of the family's 1533-position model. The record is from RNAcentral.